GGGAUAUGAGGAGUGGUCAAUGCUCGCAUCUGGUGCGAGAUCAGUGCCUGCCUCGCCUGUUACGACAGUCAGGCACUCUUAUUUUUACCAUCUGAUCCC
This 99-nucleotide small nucleolar RNA is filed under the name Ipomoea nil (Japanese morning glory). RNAcentral's name for it is "Small nucleolar RNA Z279/snoR105/snoR108". It matches the Rfam family "Small nucleolar RNA Z279/snoR105/snoR108". Rfam says of the family: This family includes the plant snoRNAs known as Z279, snoR105 and snoR108. All three are members of the C/D class of snoRNA which contain the C (UGAUGA) and D (CUGA) box motifs. The record is from Rfam by way of RNAcentral. Lineage: Eukaryota; Viridiplantae; Streptophyta; Magnoliopsida; Solanales; Convolvulaceae.